Epinephelus moara (kelp grouper) is the source of this 655-nucleotide long non-coding RNA. RefSeq lists it as uncharacterized. NCBI's taxonomy places the organism in Eukaryota, Metazoa, Chordata, Actinopteri, Perciformes, Serranidae. The transcript is spliced from 3 exons. The record is from RefSeq and is a predicted model, not a curated record.
CAUGGAAAAAAAGUCAUAGUAUAGCAUGUCGUCCAAAAUGAUGAAAAAAAGUCAUAGUAUAGCAUGUCGUCCAAAAUGAUGAAAAAAAGUCAUAGUAUAGCAUGUCGUCCAAAAUGAUGAAAAAAAGUCAUAGUAUAGCAUUUUGUCGUCCAAAAUGAUGAAAAAAAAGUCAUAGUGUAGUAUGUCGUCCAAAAUGAUGAAAAAGAUCAUAGUAUAGCAUUUUGUCGUCCAAAAUGAUGAAAAAAAAGUCAUAGUGUAGUAUGUCGUCCAAAAUGAUGAAAAAAAUCAUAGUAUAGCAUGUCGUCCAAAAUGAUGAAAAAAGUCAUAGUAUAGCAUGUCGUCCAAAAUGAUGAACAAGAGUCAUCCUAAUAUACUGUCUAAAAUCAUAGAAUGAUGAUGGCAAAAAAAUACCAAAGUUUCCCAAUGUGCAAACUGGACCCUCUUUACAUUAUUUGAACCUCUAACACAAAUGUACAUAUCUUAAGAAAACAUGCCACGGAGUAUUUCUAAUUUUACUUAAAUUAAUGAUUUCAAUAGCACUCUCGGCCACAGUGUUGGACAAGUGGAAAAUUGUUCUUGUUUAUUGUUUCUGUUAUAGAGGUGAGGUAAUGAGUUGAAGUAAGUGAUAACAAGUGAUUAACAUCUUUGACUUCUU